Molecule: long non-coding RNA, 1756 nt
Organism: Oncorhynchus keta (chum salmon)
Lineage: Eukaryota; Metazoa; Chordata; Actinopteri; Salmoniformes; Salmonidae
Exons: 4
Source: RefSeq, a predicted model, not a curated record
AGAGAGGUUAAUGGGAUAGAGAGAUGGAGAGAAGGAGAGAGGUUAAUGGGAUGGAGAGAUGGAAAGAUGAGGAGAGAAAGAGAGAGGUUAAUGGGAUGGAGAGAUGGAGAGAAGGAGAGAGGUUAAUGGGAUAGAGAGAUGGAGAGAAGGAGAGAGGUUAAUGGGAUAGAGAGAUGGAAAGAUGAGGAGAGAAAGAGAGAGGUUAAUGGGAUAGAGAGAUGGAGAGAAGGAGAGAGGUUAAUGGGAUAGAGAGAUGGAAAGAUGAGGAGAGAAAGAGAGAGGUUAAUGGGAUAGAGAGAUGGAGAGAAGGAGAGAGGUUAAUGGGAUAGAGAGAUGGAGAGAAGGAGAGAGGUUAAUGGGAUAGAGAGAUGGAGAGAAGGAGAGAGGUUAAUGGGAUAGAGAGAUGGAGAGAAGGAGAGAGGUUAAUGGGAUAGAGAGAUGGAAAGAUGAGGAGAGAAAGAGAGAGUUUAAUGGGAUAGAGAGAUGGAGAGAAGGAGAGAGGUUAAUGGGAUAGAGAGAGGGAGAGAAGGAGAGAGGUUAAUGGGAUAGAGAGAUGGAAAGAAGGAGAGAGGUUAAUGGGAUGGAGAGAUGGAGAGAGGUUAAUGGGAUGGAGAGAAGGAAAGAGGUUAAUGGGAUGGAGAGAAGGGAAAAUGAGGAGAGAAAGAGAGAGGUUCAUGGGAUGGAGAGAAGGAGAGAAGGAGAGAAGGAGAGAGGAUAAUGGGAUGGAGAGAUGGGAAAAUGAGGAGAGAAAGAGAGAGGUUAAUGGGAUAGAGAGAUGGGAAAAUGAGGAGAGAAAGAGAGAGGUUAAUGGGAUGGAGAGAAGGAGAGAAGGAGAGAGGUUAAUGGGAUGGAGAGAUGGGAAAAUGAGGAGAGAAAGAGAGAGGUUAAUGGGAUGGAGAGAAGGAGAGAGGUUAAAGAGAUGAAGAGAAGGAGAGAGGUUAAUGGGAUGGAGAGAUGAAGAGAAGGAGAGAGGUUAAUGGGAUGGAGAGAUGGAGAGAAGGAGAGAGGUUAAUGGGAUGGAGAGAUGGAGAGAAGGAGAGAGGUUAAAGAGAUGAAGAGAAGGAGAGAGGUUAAUGGGAUGGAGAGAUGAAGAGAAGGAGAGAGGUUAAAAGAUGGCGACAUUAGGAAAGAAGUAGAGACGGAGACAAGAGGAAAGAAGGAGAGACGGAGACAAGAGGAAAGGAGGAGAGACGGAGACAAGAGGAAAGAAGGAGAGACGGAGACAAGAGGAAAGAAGGAGAGACGGAGACAAGAGGAAAGAAGGAGAGACGGAGACAAGAGGAAAGAAGGAGAGACGGAGACAAGAGGAAAGAAGGAGAGACGGAGACAAGAGGAAAGAAGGAGAGACGGAGACAAGAGGAAAGGAGGAGAGACGGAGACAAGAGGAAAGGAGGAGAGACGGAGACAAGAGGAAAGGAGGAGAGACGGAGACAAGAGGAAAGAAGGAGAGACGGAGACAAGAGGAAAGAAGUAGAGACGGAGACAAGAGGAAAGGAGGAGAGACGGAGACAAGAGGAAAAGAGGAGAGACGGAGACAAGAGGAAAGGAGGAGAGACGGAGACAAGAGGAAAGGAGGAGAGACGGAGACAAGAGGAAAGGAGGAGAGACGGAGACAAGAGGAAAGAAGGAGAGACGGAGACAAGAGGAAAGAAGUAGAGACGGAGACAAGAGGAAAGGAGGAGAGACGGAGACAAGAGGAAAGGAGGAGAGAUGGAGACAAGAGGAAAGGAGGAGAGACGGAGACAAGAGGAAAGGA